CUUUAUAAAACAGAUCGAAUCAUUGGGAAAUGUUUGUGGAACUAUUGCUCUACUCCAUGCUGUUGGAAAUGCAUCUUCCAAAGUCAAUUUAGUGGAGAAUUCAUGCUUGGACUUGUUCUUCAAAUCAACUGCUACCAUGGAUGACCCUCAUGAGCGUGCUGUGUGUCUGGAGAAGGAUGAUACAAUGGCAAGGGCUCAUUUACUU
Molecule: long non-coding RNA, 205 nt
Organism: Zea mays
Lineage: Eukaryota; Viridiplantae; Streptophyta; Magnoliopsida; Poales; Poaceae
Exons: 3
Source: RefSeq, a predicted model, not a curated record